RNAcentral lists this long non-coding RNA (695 nucleotides) under Parus major (Great Tit). RNAcentral describes it as "lncRNA (ENSPMJG00000011232.1)". Lineage: Eukaryota; Metazoa; Chordata; Aves; Passeriformes; Paridae. The record is from RNAcentral.
AGAAUUUGGAGAUGGUGGCCAGAAGCUGCAGCCAUGACUCAGUAAGAAGGGGAAAAGUGCUGCUGUGAUGUUACCUGGAACUGCAUUUAACUUAAACUAGCACAGUGCCUUGCUCUUCUGUGACCUUUACCCAUCAGGACUUAUUAGCUAAUUGAAUUCAGAAGGCAAUGAAAACACUGUGAGCACAGGCCUUGAUGUCUGGACCCUUCAACAGACCUUGGAACCCACUUCACCUUCCAGGCUGGAUGUUCUUGUUGCACAAAGAUUUCCUGAAGGUUUGGUGUCAUGGAAACAGCUUCUUCAUUUGGAAAGCUCUGCGGCAGUGUGAGAAGGAAAAGACUGGAGAGGGCGAGAGGAAGAGGGAGCGCAGGAGCACGGCCGUGCAGCCUUCCCAACAUCAGCGGCUCCCUGCCUCCCUCCCUCCCUCCCUUCCCCGGAGACAAGGGAGCGAACAGGAGGGCAGGGCUCCCGCGCUGCCUGCCUUACCUCGCUCUGCAAUAAUGCAAAUCAUUCCCCCUUUGCUGUUUGUCAUCGCCAAGACUGCAUGUGGUUUAUUUUGUAGUUAAUGCACAGUGUAGUUCUAAACACUUUUUAAGGGAAUUUUUUGUACCAAAGGGAUGUGUUUAUAUAUCUAUAUAUUAAUAUAUUUACACAUACAUAUAUAUAUAUAUGUGAUGUAUUUUUGUAAAUGGACU